AGCAACUUGGCGCAAUGGCAGCGCGCCGGGCUCAUAACCCGGAGGUAGAAGGAUCGAUACUUUCAGUUGCUA
Molecule: transfer RNA, 72 nt
Rfam family: tRNA
About the family: Transfer RNA (tRNA) molecules are approximately 80 nucleotides in length. Their secondary structure includes four short double-helical elements and three loops (D, anti-codon, and T loops). Further hydrogen bonds mediate the characteristic L-shaped molecular structure. tRNAs have two regions of fundamental functional importance: the anti-codon, which is responsible for specific mRNA codon recognition, and the 3' end, to which the tRNAs corresponding amino acid is attached (by aminoacyl-tRNA synthetases). tRNAs cope with the degeneracy of the genetic code in two manners: having more than one tRNA (with a specific anti-codon) for a particular amino acid; and 'wobble' base-pairing, i.e. permitting non-standard base-pairing at the 3rd anti-codon position.
Source: Rfam